UACGUAGGCAGCGAGCGUUGUUCGGAGUUACUGGGCGUAAAGGGUGUGUAGGCGGUUGUUUAAGUUUGGUGUGAAAUCUCCCGGCUCAACUGGGAGGGUGCGCCGAAUACUGAAUGACUAGAGUGCGGGAGAGGUGAGUGGAAUUCCUGGUGUAGCGGUGAAAUGCGCAGAUAUCAGGAAGAACACCCGUGGCGAAGGCGGCUCUCUGGGACGGUACUGACGCUGAGACGCGAAAGCGUGGGGAGCGAACAGG
Molecule: ribosomal RNA, 253 nt
Filed under: uncultured bacterium
Lineage: Bacteria
Description: partial 16S ribosomal RNA
Rfam family: Bacterial small subunit ribosomal RNA
Source: RNAcentral